This 253-nucleotide ribosomal RNA is filed under the name uncultured bacterium. RNAcentral describes it as "partial 16S ribosomal RNA". It matches the Rfam family "Bacterial small subunit ribosomal RNA", at positions 524 to 776 of the family's 1533-position model. The record is from RNAcentral.
UACGUAGGGUGCAAGCGUUGUCCGGAAUUAUUGGGCGUAAAGCGCUCGUAGGCGGCUUGUCGCGUCGGCUGUGAAAACCUGGGGCUCAACCCCGGGCCUGCAGCCGAUACGGGCAAGCUAGAAUUCGGUAGGGGAGACUGGAAUUCCUGGUGUAGCGGUGAAAUGCGCAGAUAUCAGGAGGAACACCGGUGGCGAAGGCGGGUCUCUGGGCCGAUAUUGACGCUGAGGAGCGAAAGCGUGGGGAGCGAACAGG